CGGCCAGCCGGGCCGCGGCCAGCAGGCCGUCCCGCACGCGGCCGUCGGGGCUGUGUGCGGCCACGAUCCGGAUCAGGUCCGGCCGGUCGCC
This 91-nucleotide transfer RNA is filed under the name Paractinoplanes toevensis. RNAcentral's name for it is "Actinoplanes toevensis tRNA-Ala". Lineage: Bacteria; Bacillati; Actinomycetota; Actinomycetes; Micromonosporales; Micromonosporaceae. The record is from RNAcentral.